GAAUGAGGUUCUGAGGUUCCGUGAACCAGCAGCGAGUGUCAAGGGGACACCUUAGCAAAGCUCCUCAUCCUUCUCACUUUCAAAGCCUCACUGUUAGUGAGGGAGCUGUGAUGGAGCAGGUCAGACUUGAACAGCCUAGGUCAUCGAUUUCCCAAUUAAGGUACCUACACCUGAAAGAAUUAUCAGCUAAACAUGUGCUAUUUAUUGGUGCCACGGAAAGAUGGCAAACCCUAAUGUAAACUGUGGAUACUUGGUGAUAAUAACACAGUAGUGUAAGAUCAUCACUUGUCACAAGUAGACCAGUCUUUGGGGGAGGUUCAUGGCAGGGAGCCACAUCUGUAGGGGAAGGGAGGAUAAGGGAAGCAUCUGUACCCUCUGCUCAACUUUUCUAUGAACCUAAAACUGCUCUAAGAAUAAAAGAUUUAAGACAAAAGAUGUUAGGAAAACACCAAAGAAGUUGGUAGGAAAUUAGGCUAAGACGAAAUGUAUUCAUUUCACAAUCCCAAGAGGAUCCAGCUUCAAAGAUGUGGGAGAAAAGGUACACUCCGCAUUAUUGGUGGGACUGAAAAUUAGUAGGACCACUUUGGAAAGCCCUAAGAAGAUGGCUAAAAAAAUAGGAAGAGAUGACCCAGCUAUCCCACUUCUCGGUAUUUAUCCCAAAGAACUAAAAUCAGCAAACCAUAGUGAUCAUUAUUUAUAGCGGCACAAUUUGCCCAAAUUCUGGAACCAGCCCAGGUGCCUGUUAGCCAAAGAAUGGAUAAAUAAAAUGUGGUAUAUAUACACAAUGGAGU
This 791-nucleotide long non-coding RNA is filed under the name Marmota monax (woodchuck). The record is from RNAcentral. Lineage: Eukaryota; Metazoa; Chordata; Mammalia; Rodentia; Sciuridae.